AAAAAAGUAUACCUAUUUUCUUUUCCUAGAAGUUGCACAUAUUUCUGUUUCAUGUGACAGAUUCAUCUCUGUAUCUUCUGACAGCUUAGGUCUUCAGAAGACCUUUCAUCACCAAAGAGAAAGACAUGUUAAUACUGGUAGGUUUGCCGAAGGAUUUCUACUGUUGGAUAGUAAAAGCUCAACUGACUGCACUAAUUUAGCUGUUCUAUUUAGAAAUACCACAGCAUAAUAUUGGAAAUACUGUAUAAAAAUGAGAACUUUUUGUCACUCUUAAGAUGUAAUUGCUGUGCUAGGAUAACUGUAACCUAAAAAUUACCUUCUAACCUAUGAGACAGGCCUUUCCAGUGACAUGAAAAUAUACUCCAGAGAAAGGCAGUUUUAUGAAAGAGCAAAAGGACACAGGAAGAGGAGAAAUGAAGCAAUGAAUGGAUUUACAACUGAGAUUCAGCUAUAAAAAUCUUGGAAACUUGCAGCCUAGUAGAAUUGUGACUUGUAUCCUUGGGUAUUUCUUUGACUUGUGUUCUCUUAAGGGAACAAUUUGUCCCAGAAUUUGGCAGCCUGGACAGCCUGCAGUUUUUACGAAUCCUCCUGAUGGGAAUGAAGUUUUGGCAGCUGAUGGAAUCACAGAGGAGUGAAAUUUUGCUGGCUUUUGAUUAUUUUAUUUCUGAGUUACCCCAGUGCAAGAUUAUUGAGGAGCUGAAGAUGUCAGUUCUUGGUGGAAA
Molecule: long non-coding RNA, 722 nt
Organism: Prinia subflava (tawny-flanked prinia)
Lineage: Eukaryota; Metazoa; Chordata; Aves; Passeriformes; Cisticolidae
Exons: 3
Source: RefSeq, a predicted model, not a curated record